Molecule: ribosomal RNA, 372 nt
Filed under: Triticum aestivum (bread wheat)
Lineage: Eukaryota; Viridiplantae; Streptophyta; Magnoliopsida; Poales; Poaceae
Description: partial small subunit ribosomal RNA
Source: RNAcentral
GUAGACGUCAGGAGACGUGGGGACCGGAUUAUCCUGGUCAAGCUGGUAGUUGAGGACUUGGUUCUCAAUGUUAUCAGCGCGUAUGCCCCGCAAGUAGGCCACAAUGAGAACACCAAGAGGGAGUUCUGGGAAGGCUUGGAAGACAUGGUUAGGAGUGUACCGAUUGGUGAGAAGCUCUUCAUAGGAGGAGACCUCAAUGGCCACGUGGGUACAUCUAACACAGGUUUUGAAGGGGCGCAUGGGGGCUUUGGCUAUGGCAUCAGGAAUCAAGAAGGAGAAGAUGUCUUAAGCUUUGCUCUAGCCUACAACAUGAUUGUAGCUAACACCCUCUUUAGAAAGAGAGAAUCACAUCUGGUGACUUUUAGUAGUGGC